GUGAACUAGAACGUAGGGAUCCUAGCGAGCCAACCUCCCCCCGUGUUUACUGUACCUUAGUUGCUUCGGCGGGCCCGCCAUUCAUGGCCGCCGGGGGCUCUCAGCCCCGGGCCCGCGCCCGCCGGAGACACCACGAACUCUGUCUGAUCUAGUGAAGUCUGAGUUGAUUGUAUCGCAAUCAGUUAAAACUUUCAACAAUGGAUCUCUUGGUUCCGGCAUCGAUGAAGAACGCAGCGAAAUGCGAUAACUAGUGUGAAUUGCAGAAUUCCGUGAAUCAUCGAGUCUUUGAACGCACAUUGCGCCCCCUGGUAUUCCGGGGGGCAUGCCUGUCCGAGCGUCAUUGCUGCCCAUCAAGCACGGCUUGUGUGUUGGGUCGUCGUCCCCUCUCCGGGGGGGACGGGCCCCAAAGGCAGCGGCGGCACCGCGUCCGAUCCUCGAGCGUAUGGGGCUUUGUCACCCGCUCUGUAGGCCCGGCCGGCGCUUGCCGAACGCAAAUCAAUCUUUUUCCAGGUUGACCUCGGAUCAGGUAGGGAUACCCGCUGAACUUAAGCAUAUAAAGGGGGGGGGAAAAAAAAACCGGGAGGCUAUCCCCCGAUCC
This 598-nucleotide unclassified non-coding RNA is filed under the name Aspergillus flavus. RNAcentral's name for it is "sequence contains ITS1, 5.8S rRNA gene and ITS2". The stretch from base 187 to 340 matches the Rfam family "5.8S ribosomal RNA". Lineage: Eukaryota; Fungi; Ascomycota; Eurotiomycetes; Eurotiales; Aspergillaceae. The record is from RNAcentral.